GUGAUGACGAGGCACUACGGUGCUGAAGCAACAAAUGCCCUGCUUCCAGGAAAAGCCUCUAAGCAUCAGGUAACAUCAAAUCGUACCCCAAACCGACACAGGUGGUCAGGUAGAGAAUACCAAGGCGCUUGAGAGAACUCGGGUGAAGGAACUAGGCAAAAUGGUGCCGUAACUUCGGGAGAAGGCACGCUGACACGUAGGUGAAGUGAUUUACUCAUGGAGCUGAAGUCAGUCGAAGAUACCAGCUGGCUGCAACUGUUUAUUAAAAACACAGCACUGUGCAAACACGAAAGUGGACGUAUACGGUGUGACGCCUGCCCGGUGCCGGAAGGUUAAUUGAUGGGGUCAGCGCAAGCGAAGCUCCUGAUCGAAGCCCCGGUAAACGGCGGCCGUAACUAUAACGGUCCUAAGGUAGCGAAAUUCCUUGUCGGGUAAGUUCCGACCUGCACGAAUGGCGUAAUGAUGGCCAGGCUGUCUCCACCCGAGACUCAGUGAAAUUGAACUCGCUGUGAAGAUGCAGUGUACCCGCGGCAAGACGGAAAGACCCCGUGAACCUUUACUAUAGCUUGACACUGAACAUUGAGCCUUGAUGUGUAGGAUAGGUGGGAGGCUUUGAAGUGUGGACGCCAGUCUGCAUGGAGCCGGCCUUGAAAUACCACCCUUUAAUGUUUGAUGUUCUAACGUGGACCCGUGAUCCGGGUUGCGGACAGUGUCUGGUGGGUAGUUUGACUGGGGCGGUCUCCUCCUAAAGAGUAACGGAGGAGCACGAAGGUUGGCUAAUCCUGGUCGGACAUCAGGAGGUUAGUGCAAUGGCAUAAGCCAGCUUGACUGCGAGCGUGACGGCGCGAGCAGGUGCGAAAGCAGGUCAUAGUGAUCCGGUGGUUCUGAAUGGAAGGGCCAUCGCUCAACGGAUAAAAGGUACUCCGGGGAUAACAGGCUGAUACCGCCCAAGAGUUCAUAUCGACGGCGGUGUUUGGCACCUCGAUGUCGGCUCAUCACAUCCUGGGGCUGAAGUAGGUCCCAAGGGUAUGGCUGUUCGCCAUUUAAAGUGGUACGCGAGCUGGGUUUAGAACGUCGUGAGACAGUUCGGUCCCUAUCUGCCGUGGGCGCUGGAGAACUGAGGGGGGCUGCUCCUAGUACGAGAGGACCGGAGUGGACGCAUCACUGGUGUUCGGGUUGUCAUGCCAAUGGCACUGCCCGGUAGCUAAAUGCGGAAGAGAUAAGUGCUGAAAGCAUCUAAGCACGAAACUUGCCCCGAGAUGAGUUCUCCCUGAGACUUUAGGUCUCCUGAAGGAACGUUGAAGACGACGACGUUGAUAGGCCGGGUGUGUAAGCGCAGCGAUGCGUUGAGCUAACCGGUACUAAUGAACCGUGAGGCUUAACCUUACAACGCCGAAG
RNAcentral lists this ribosomal RNA (1398 nucleotides) under Salmonella enterica. RNAcentral's name for it is "partial 23S ribosomal RNA". It matches the Rfam family "Bacterial large subunit ribosomal RNA", at positions 1563 to 2925 of the family's 2925-position model. Lineage: Bacteria; Pseudomonadati; Pseudomonadota; Gammaproteobacteria; Enterobacterales; Enterobacteriaceae. The record is from RNAcentral.